AGUGAACGCUGGCGGUAGGCCUAACACAUGCAAGUCGAACGGCAGCACAGUAAGAGCUUGCUCUUACGGGUGGCGAGUGGCGGACGGGUGAGGAAUACAUCGGAAUCUACUUUUUCGUGGGGGAUAACGUAGGGAAACUUACGCUAAUACCGCAUACGACCUACGGGUGAAAGCAGGGGAUCUUCGGACCUUGCGCGAUUGAAUGAGCCGAUGUCGGAUUAGCUAGUUGGCGGGGUAAAGGCCCACCAAGGCGACGAUCCGUAGCUGGUCUGAGAGGAUGAUCAGCCACACUGGAACUGAGACACGGUCCAGACUCCGACGGGAGGCAGCAGUGGGGAAUAUUGGACAAUGGGCGCAAGCCUGAUCCAGCCAUACCGCGUGAGUGAAGAAGGCCUUCGGGUUGUAAAACCCUUUUGUUGGGAAAGAAAAGCAGCAGGUUAAUACCCCGCUGUUCUGACGGUACCCAAAGAAUAAGCACCGGCUAACUUCGUG
This 492-nucleotide ribosomal RNA is filed under the name uncultured bacterium. RNAcentral describes it as "partial 16S ribosomal RNA". It matches the Rfam family "Bacterial small subunit ribosomal RNA", at positions 29 to 507 of the family's 1533-position model. The record is from RNAcentral.